Molecule: long non-coding RNA, 603 nt
Organism: Cotesia glomerata
Lineage: Eukaryota; Metazoa; Arthropoda; Insecta; Hymenoptera; Braconidae
Exons: 2
Source: RefSeq, a predicted model, not a curated record
AUAGUGAUAAGUAAUAUAUAAAAGUCUGUCAUGCUGAAACGUAAACAAAUUAAAAUAUUUACACUGUAAGCAUUCGAUAAUUAUCAUGAACAUUAAUCACAGUCUACGUGAGUUAUUUUUCUGUGAUUACACUUGACAAUGAAAUAUAAAUAAAAGUCCAACGGGUGAAUUUAAAAAUGAAAUUGCAUGUAAAUAAAUGUUUAGUUACCAUUACCAACAGGGGUAAUAAUUACGUGCAUAAUUCAUUCGCGUUUACUCGGUCUUAUCGUUUGGCAACCUUGUGAUAAAAGUUAAUUUAAAAACGUAAAACGCGACUUGCUGGCAGUUCGAGGCAAACAUUACGCUGUAAAUUAUUGAAUUUAACUCUAAUUGCAAAUACAACAAUAUAAUUGUUAGUAAACAUGUUUAAGUUUAUUUUAAAAGAAAUUUUGGUUAGUUCGCUGUUGUUAUCUAUCAUUGCAGCUAUAGUUUUGAACGAAUCAAGCCCAGAUGACAAAGGCCCAGUUCCGUACCCGGUAGACUUUAAAAAUGGUGGAGAUUAAAGAAUGUUCAUAAAAUAUAAAACAAAGAAUUGAAUAAAAAAUUAUCAACUAAAAAUUAAAA